Molecule: ribosomal RNA, 301 nt
Filed under: uncultured bacterium
Lineage: Bacteria
Description: partial 16S ribosomal RNA
Rfam family: Bacterial small subunit ribosomal RNA
Source: RNAcentral
CAGCCGCCACGGGAAUACGGAGGGGGCUAGCGUUGUUCGGAAUUACUGGGCGUAAAGCGCACGUAGGCGGCUUGGUAAGUUAGAGGUGAAAGCCCGGAGCUCAACUCCGGAAUUGCCUUUAAGACUGCCGAGCUAGCAGGUGAGAGAGGUAAGUGGAAUUCCGAGUGUAGAGGUGAAAUUCGUAGAUAUUCGGAAGAACACCAGUGGCGAAGGCGGCUUACUGGCUCAUACUGGACGCUGAGGUGCGAAAGCGUGGGGAGCAAACAGGAUUAGAUACCCGAGUAGUCCCUGUCUCUUAUAC